Molecule: long non-coding RNA, 723 nt
Filed under: Linum usitatissimum (flax)
Lineage: Eukaryota; Viridiplantae; Streptophyta; Magnoliopsida; Malpighiales; Linaceae
Description: long non-coding RNA (LUSI_LNC003119)
Source: RNAcentral
AACUUAACUUACAAAUUCCCAAAUCCAUAUUUACUAAGUCUGCAACCUGCCUGGUUGAGCAGCAACGGGGAAGGAGGAAAAGCAGCGUCGAUGUUGCCGAGCUAGAGCGAGGAUCCAGAGAAGCCUACGGGCUCUGACGGCUAACCGCCUGAGAUACCGCAACGGAAAAAGAAGGUCGUUCCAGAUUGCAGUUCAAUGGGAGUCAAGAGAUCUGGUGGGCACAUAUAGCUAGGAUUCGCAGAUCUAAAAAUUUGAAUUUUCAUAUCUUCCUUCUCAGUGAUCAUUAGAUCAACAAUGGUGACAAGCUUUCUGCACUUCCAUCCCCAAGGACCAACGGGACGCUGCCUUUGUAUUCAAUCUAUAGUGGCCUUGUCUAUGAUACUGGAAUUUACCUUCCAAUGUAGGGGCCUGGGUGCCCCGUUAUAGGAGCCGAAUCUCUGCAGUCGUAGCUUUGUGCUUCGUUAACACUUUGAAUUGGUUUGUGAUUUAUAAAGUCAGGGCCUUGAUGUCCCGUUAUAGAAACCGAGUCUCCACAGUGGUAGCCUUAUGCUUCGUCAAUAAGUUGAAUCCCUUCGUGAUUUACCAAAUUGGGGCAUUGGUGCCCAAAUAUAAGAGCCGAAUGAACCAUUUGGUGAACUACAAUGCAUAAAAUUGGUUUAAUUUAUUUUCAAACACUAUAUAUGAUCACUGGUUCUCUUAUGUUCUUAUUUUAUAAAAUGUUAG